This 48-nucleotide non-coding RNA is filed under the name Schistosoma margrebowiei. The record is from RNAcentral. Lineage: Eukaryota; Metazoa; Platyhelminthes; Trematoda; Strigeidida; Schistosomatidae.
AUUCAGUUGACGAAUCUCAAACAGGAAGAAACACGUGUCAAACUGGAU